Molecule: long non-coding RNA, 1024 nt
Filed under: Marmota monax (woodchuck)
Lineage: Eukaryota; Metazoa; Chordata; Mammalia; Rodentia; Sciuridae
Source: RNAcentral
AGGCAAGUCCUGGGAUGCCCACAAGUCAAGGCUGCAGGCUGUGGACACACGUGUGGACAUAGAAGAAGGGAUCCAUGAGCCAGCUGAGACCCAGGCGAGAUAGGAAACAAGCAGCUGUCCUACGUGUGGCUUCCUGCCACCUACCCCACCUGAGUCCGGGGCCUAGCUUCUCUCUCUUCUCUCCUUCUCUUAUUUCUCUACUAACCACAGUUGAUGGUUGGCCUCGCAAUUUCGUCUCUGGGUGAGAGGAUCCGAGGUGGGGCUAGACCAGAAUAUGAGGAGUGAUUCAUUCCUUAGAGGUGGAUUGCAUAACUGUCCCCCAGAGUGAGGCUACGUGCUUUUGGAACUUUAUGUCUCCCUUUUUCCAGAACAGAGGGUCUUCAUUCAUGUGAAAGGAACUGCAUUUGUUAGGUGAAGCCUUGAAGACAGAGGUGUUGGUGUUGUGUGUGUAAAUUCACAGGUGUGUAAAUUCACAGGUGUGCAAAAGAGUUCGGCAGGAGGCUAAGCGAGAGCCAGAUGGUGGAGAGUGAGGAGAUCUUUUCCUUAGGUCUGGGCUCUGCAAACACAUUUCUCCUUUGGAGAUGCUCCCAUGAGGCUCUGCCCAAAGGACAAGAGGAUGCUGGGGGGCUAGAGCAGGGAGGGGUCUUGUUUGUCCCCUUUUGUCACGUUCCUGGUCAGCACUGUCUCACCAGUGGCCUGCACUCUGGCUGAGCCCAGGUCCAGGUUUCCCAUAACCUGAGCUCCAUGGGGUUCUUCCCUUACUCUGUGGCACCAGCAUCUGGUGGGCCAUGAAUCAUCCCUCUUCCUCAGGGACCCGGGUCCCAGCUCUGCAGGGCCUCUGCCCCAAGCCCUUAUGUCCUGAGUUCAACUUUGGAAGUAAGAGCAGAGACUAACAGGGGGAUCUGUCUGAUGGAAAGUUUUCAGUCAGUGAUAGGACUUCAAAUAGAACUCAAGAACUAUGGCAAAGACAAGAGGAAUGUUCGGAUCUCCGUGAUGUGAAGACUGGACCUAUUUACAGAUGAAG